UUGUGACUGCGGAGGAUCAUUAAAGAAAUUUAAUAAUUUUGAAAAUGGAUUUUUUUGUUUUGGCAAGAGCAUGAGAGCUUUUACUGGGCAAGAAGACAAGAGAUGGAGAGUCCAGCCGGGCCUGCGCUUAAGUGCGCGGUCUUGCUAGGCUUGUAAGUUUCUUUCUUGCUAUUCCAAACGGUGAGAGAUUUCUGUGCUUUUGUUAUAGGACAAUUAAAACCGUUUCAAUACAACACACUGUGGAGUUUUCAUAUCUUUGCAACUUUUUCUUUGGGCAUUCGAGCAAUCGGGGCCCAGAGGUAACAAACACAAACAAUUUUAUUUAUUCAUUAAAUUUUUGUCAAAAACAAGAAUUUUCGUAACUGGAAAUUUUAAAAUAUUAAAAACUUUCAACAACGGAUCUCUUGGUUCUCGCAUCGAUGAAGAACGCAGCGAAAUGCGAUACGUAAUGUGAAUUGCAGAAUUCCGUGAAUCAUCGAAUCUUUGAACGCACAUUGCGCCCCUUGGUAUUCCAGGGGGCAUGCCUGUUUGAGCGUCAUUUCCUUCUCAAACAUUCUGUUUGGUAGUGAGUGAUACUCUUUGGAGUUAACUUGAAAUUGCUGGCCUUUUCAUUGGAUGUUUUUUUUCCAAAGAGAGGUUUCUCUGCGUGCUUGAGGUAUAAUGCAAGUACGGUCGUUUUAGGUUUUACCAACUGCGGCUAAUCUUUUUUAUACUGAGCGUAUUGGAACGUUAUCGAUAAGAAGAGAGCGUCUAGGCGAACAAUGUUCUUAAAGUUUGACCUCAAUCAGUAGGAGUACCGCUGACUAGCGCACAAUACUAA
This 820-nucleotide ribosomal RNA is filed under the name Saccharomyces cerevisiae (brewer's yeast). Its description in RNAcentral is "eukaryotic LSU rRNA". The stretch from base 385 to 538 matches the Rfam family "5.8S ribosomal RNA". Lineage: Eukaryota; Fungi; Ascomycota; Saccharomycetes; Saccharomycetales; Saccharomycetaceae. The record is from RNAcentral.